GACGAACGCUGGCGGCGUGCUUAACACAUGCAAGUCGAACGGAAAGGCCCUGCUUUUGUGGGGUGCUCGAGUGGCGAACGGGUGAGUAACACGUGAGUAACCUGCCCUUGACUUUGGGAUAACUUCAGGAAACUGGGGCUAAUACCGGAUAGGAGCUCCUGCUGCAUGGUGGGGGUUGGAAAGUUUCGGCGGUUGGGGAUGGACUCGCGGCUUAUCAGCUUGUUGGUGGGGUAGUGGCUUACCAAGGCUUUGACGGGUAGCCGGCCUGAGAGGGUGACCGGCCACAUUGGGACGGAGAUACGGCCCAGACUCCUACGGGAGGCAGCAGUGGGGAAUAUUGAACAAUGGGCGGAAGCCUGAUGCAGAAACGCCGCGUGCGGGAUGACGGCCUUCGGGUGGUAAACCGCUUUCGCCUGUGACGAAGCGUGAGUGACGGUAAUGGGGAAAGAAGCACCGGCUAACUACGU
This 467-nucleotide ribosomal RNA is filed under the name uncultured bacterium. RNAcentral describes it as "partial 16S ribosomal RNA". It matches the Rfam family "Bacterial small subunit ribosomal RNA", at positions 28 to 506 of the family's 1533-position model. The record is from RNAcentral.